RNAcentral lists this ribosomal RNA (235 nucleotides) under Ehrlichia canis. RNAcentral describes it as "partial 16S ribosomal RNA". It matches the Rfam family "Bacterial small subunit ribosomal RNA", at positions 231 to 483 of the family's 1533-position model. Lineage: Bacteria; Pseudomonadati; Pseudomonadota; Alphaproteobacteria; Rickettsiales; Anaplasmataceae. The record is from RNAcentral.
CUACGUUAGAUUAGCUUGUUGGUGAGGUAAUGGUUUACCAAGGCUAUGAUCUAUAGCUGGUCUGAGAGGACGAUCAGCCACACUGGAACUGAGAUACGGUCCAGACUCCUACGGGAGGCAGCAGUGGGGAAUAUUGGACAAUGGGCGAAAGCCUGAUCCAGCUAUGCCGCGUGAGUGAAGAAGGCCUUCGGGUUGUAAAACUCUUUCAAUAGGGAAGAUAAUGACGGUACCUAUA